GUCCUAGCCGUAAACGUUGGGUGCUAGGUGUGGGCGGAUAUCGACCCCGUCCGUGCCGAAGCUAACGCAUUAAGCACCCCGCCUGGGGAGUACGGCCGCAAGGCUAAAACUCAAAGGAAUUGACGGGGGCCCGCACAAGCGGCGGAGCAUGCGGCUUAAUUCGAUGCAACGCGAAGAACCUUACCUGGGCUUGACAUGCAGGGUGAAACCCGUGAAAGCGGGUGCUCUACGGAGCCUGCACAGGUGGUGCAUGGCUGUCGU
RNAcentral lists this ribosomal RNA (261 nucleotides) under uncultured bacterium. RNAcentral's name for it is "partial 16S ribosomal RNA". It matches the Rfam family "Bacterial small subunit ribosomal RNA", at positions 793 to 1055 of the family's 1533-position model. The record is from RNAcentral.